RNAcentral lists this ribosomal RNA (422 nucleotides) under uncultured bacterium. RNAcentral describes it as "partial 16S ribosomal RNA". It matches the Rfam family "Bacterial small subunit ribosomal RNA", at positions 360 to 774 of the family's 1533-position model. The record is from RNAcentral.
AAUCUUCCGCAAUGGGCGAAAGCCUGACGGAGCAACGCCGCGUGAACGAAGAAGGCCUUCGGGUCGUAAAGUUCUGUCCUCAGGGAAGAACCCUCAUGGGAGGAAAUGCCCAUGAGCUGACGGUACCUGGGAAGGAAGCCCUGGCUAACUACGUGCCAGCAGCCGCGGUAAUACGUAGAGGGCAAGCGUUGUCCGGAAUUAUUGGGCGUAAAGGGUGCGUAGGCGGCCUUUUAAGUCAGAUGUGAAAGACCACGGCUUAACCGUGGGGUUGCAUUUGAAACUGGAGGGCUUGAGUAUCGGAGAGGGUAGUGGAAUUCCCAGUGUAGCGGUGAUAUGCGUAGAUAUUGGGAGGAACACCAGUGGCGAAGGCGACUACCUGGACGAAAACUGACGCUGAUGCACGAAAGCUAGGGGAGCAAACA